UUCCUAGGUGAACCUGCGGAGGGAUCGUUACUGAGUUUACGCUCUAUAACCCUUUGUGAACAUACCUAUAACUGUUGCUUCGGCGGGUAGGGUCUCCGUGACCCUCCCGGCCUCCCGCCCCCGGGCGGGUCGGCGCCCGCCGGAGGAUAACCAAACUCUGAUUUAACGACGUUUCUUCUGAGUGGUACAAGCAAAUAAUCAAAACUUUUAACAACGGAUCUCUUGGUUCUGGCAUCGAUGAAGAACGCAGCGAAAUGCGAUAAGUAAUGUGAAUUGCAGAAUUCAGUGAAUCAUCGAAUCUUUGAACGCACAUUGCGCCCGCCAGCAUUCUGGCGGGCAUGCCUGUUCGAGCGUCAUUUCAACCCUCAAGCUCUGCUUGGUGUUGGGGCCCUACAGCUGAUGUAGGCCCUCAAAGGUAGUGGCGGACCCUCCCGGAGCCUCCUUUGCGUAGUAACUUUACGUCUCGCACUGGGAUCCGGAGGGACUCUUGCCGUAAAACCCCCCAAUUUUCCAAAGGUUGACCUCGGAUCAGGUAGGAAUACCCGCUGAACUUAAGCAUAUCA
Molecule: ribosomal RNA, 563 nt
Filed under: Colletotrichum gloeosporioides
Lineage: Eukaryota; Fungi; Ascomycota; Sordariomycetes; Glomerellales; Glomerellaceae
Description: eukaryotic LSU rRNA
Rfam family: 5.8S ribosomal RNA (bases 203-356)
Source: RNAcentral